This is a small nuclear RNA of Ochotona curzoniae (black-lipped pika), 135 nucleotides long. RefSeq annotates it as U11 spliceosomal RNA. NCBI's taxonomy places the organism in Eukaryota, Metazoa, Chordata, Mammalia, Lagomorpha, Ochotonidae. The record is from RefSeq and is a predicted model, not a curated record. The transcript has a single exon.
UAUUAGUGUUUCUUUUGUGAGUGGCGCAUGUAGGGUGGCUCUGUUUGCUCUUUGUGCAGAAUCCGCAUCAAGAGAUUUUGGAAGUAUCAUUUUUUGACUUCUGGGCAGCUGGUGAUCGUUGGCCCUGGUGCCCUA